GAUGAACGCUGGCGGCGUGCCUAAUACAUGCAAGUCGAGCGAACAGAUGAGGAGCUUGCUCCUCUGACGUUAGCGGCGGACGGGUGAGUAACACGUGGAUAACCUACCUAUAAGACUGGGAUAACUUCGGGAAACCGGAGCUAAUACCGGAUAAUAUAUUGAACCGCAUGGUUCAAUAGUGAAAGACGGUUUUGCUGUCACUUAUAGAUGGAUCCGCGCCGCAUUAGCUAGUUGGUAAGGUAACGGCUUACCAAGGCAACGAUGCGUAGCCGACCUGAGAGGGUGAUCGGCCACACUGGGACUGAGACACGGUCCAGACUCCUACGGGAGGCAGCAGUAGGGAAUCGUCCGCAAUGGGCGAAAGCCUGACGGAGCAACGCCGCGUGAGUGAUGAAGGUCUUCGGAUCGUAAAACUCUGUUAUUAGGGAAGAACAAAUGUGUAAGUAACUAUGCACGUCUUGACGGUACCUAAUCAGAAAGCCACGGCUAACUACGUG
This 497-nucleotide ribosomal RNA is filed under the name uncultured bacterium. RNAcentral describes it as "partial 16S ribosomal RNA". It matches the Rfam family "Bacterial small subunit ribosomal RNA", at positions 28 to 507 of the family's 1533-position model. The record is from RNAcentral.